GAUGAACGCUGGCGGCGUGCCUAAUACAUGCAAGUCGAGCGAACAGACGAGGAGCUUGCUCCUUCGACGUUAGCGGCGGACGGGUGAGUAACACGUAGGUAACCUACCUAUAAGACUGGGAUAACUUCGGGAAACCGGAGCUAAUACCGGAUAAUAUUUCGAACCGCAUGGUUCGAUAGUGAAAGAUGGCUUUGCUAUCACUUAUAGAUGGACCUGCGCCGUAUUAGCUAGUUGGUAAGGUAACGGCUUACCAAGGCAACGAUACGUAGCCGACCUGAGAGGGUGAUCGGCCACACUGGAACUUGGACGCUUUCCAGACUCCUACGGGAGGCAUCAGUAGGGAAUCUUCCGCAAAGGGCGAAAGCCUGACGGUGCAACGCCGCGUUAGUGAUGAAGGUCUUCGGAUCGUAAAACUCUGUUAUUAGGGAAGAACAAACGUGUAAGUAACUGUGCACGUCUUGACGGUACCUAAUCAGAAAGCCACGGCUAACUACGUG
RNAcentral lists this ribosomal RNA (497 nucleotides) under uncultured bacterium. RNAcentral describes it as "partial 16S ribosomal RNA". It matches the Rfam family "Bacterial small subunit ribosomal RNA", at positions 28 to 507 of the family's 1533-position model. The record is from RNAcentral.